GACGAACGCUGGCGGCGUGCUUAACACAUGCAAGUCGAACGGUGAACCUCUUCGGAGGGGAUCAGUGGCGAACGGGUGAGUAACACGUGGGCAACCUGCCCCCGGCUCUGGGAUAACUCCAAGAAAUUGGGGCUAAUACCGGAUGUUCACCGCUUCCCGCAUGGGUGGUGGUGGAAACGGUUUCCGGCUGGGGAUGGGCCCGCGGCCUAUCAGCUUGUUGGUGGGGUAGUGGCCUACCAAGGCGACGACGGGUAGCCGGCCUGAGAGGGUAACCGGCCACACUGGGACUGAGACACGGCCCAGACUCCUACGGGAGGCAGCAGUGGGGAAUAUUGCGCAAUGGGCGGAAGCCUGACGCAGCGACGCCGCGUGGGGGAUGACGGCCUUCGGGUUGUAAACCUCUUUCAGCAGGGACGAAGCGCAAGUGACGGUACCUGCAGAAGAAGCACCGGCCAACUACGUG
This 463-nucleotide ribosomal RNA is filed under the name uncultured bacterium. RNAcentral describes it as "partial 16S ribosomal RNA". It matches the Rfam family "Bacterial small subunit ribosomal RNA", at positions 28 to 507 of the family's 1533-position model. The record is from RNAcentral.